UGCUAUUCUUAACGGGAUGGCUUUUCUUNAGUGUAAANAGCUUUUGGAAUAAGAGCUGGGCAAGACCGGUGCCAGCCGCCGCGGUAACACCGGCAGCUCUAGUGGUAGCUGUUUUUAUUGGGCCUAAAGCGUUCGUAGCCGGUUUGAUAAGUCUCUGGUGAAAUCCUGUAGCUUAACUGUGGGAAUUGCUGGNGAUACUGUUNAACUUGANNNCGGGAGAGGUUAGNGGUACUCCCAGGGNAGAGGUGAAAUUCUGUAAUCCUGGGAGGACCNCCUGUGGCGAAGGCGGCUAACUGGAACGAACC
Molecule: ribosomal RNA, 305 nt
Filed under: uncultured archaeon
Lineage: Archaea
Description: partial 16S ribosomal RNA
Rfam family: Archaeal small subunit ribosomal RNA
Source: RNAcentral